Molecule: unclassified non-coding RNA, 519 nt
Filed under: Hevea brasiliensis (rubber tree)
Lineage: Eukaryota; Viridiplantae; Streptophyta; Magnoliopsida; Malpighiales; Euphorbiaceae
Source: RNAcentral
ACAUGUCUUCAGCAACAGGGCCUGAAUAAGCAAAUCAACAAAGAGAAUCAGAUGAAAGAAAUUGUUGCAAAAGGCAACCUAAAAACACCCGUCCACAUCUAUAUCUAUAUUUACAUCUAUAUUUUGGCAAAGGGAAAAAAUCUAUAUCUAAUUCUGUAUAAAAAAUUAUUAUAAAACUAAGCUCUAAAAUAGGCUCACUACGUGCUGCCAUAUGGUGCUUUGUUAUGAUGCCGUCUGGUGCUCUAUCAUGCCUUCAUAAUAUUUUACCCUUAUUUCCUCUACAUUUUUAGCCCCAGUUUUCUCAAGGUUCUUUACUCCCACCAAGUUAUCUGGUUUCAGUUACUAUAUUUUCUAGCAUUUGUCUUCCCGCAAUGUUUUUAACUCUCCAACAAGUUUUAUGUUUUCAGUUAUUAUGGCUUCCCCUUUCAUCUUUCAACCCAUUCCAAUUCCACAUUUCUUAUCUUUGUGUUACAACAAAAAUCCUUCCAAUUGCCAUGAAAGUUCCAACUCUUUAUGUUA